This 72-nucleotide transfer RNA is filed under the name Allacta hainanensis. RNAcentral's name for it is "tRNA-Phe". The record is from RNAcentral. Lineage: Eukaryota; Metazoa; Arthropoda; Insecta; Blattodea; Pseudophyllodromiidae.
ACUUAUAUAGCUUAUAGAAAGAGUUUAACAUUGAAGAUGUUAGGGAGGAAUAAAUUUAUUAACCUUUAAGUA